RNAcentral lists this ribosomal RNA (205 nucleotides) under uncultured Anaerolineaceae bacterium. RNAcentral's name for it is "partial 16S ribosomal RNA". It matches the Rfam family "Bacterial small subunit ribosomal RNA", at positions 568 to 774 of the family's 1533-position model. Lineage: Bacteria; Bacillati; Chloroflexota; Anaerolineae; Anaerolineales; Anaerolineaceae. The record is from RNAcentral.
CGUGUAGGCGGUACGGAAAGUUGGAUGUGAAAGCCCCCGGCUAAACUGGGGAGGUCGUUCAAACUACCGAACUAGAGUGUGGAAGAGGGAGGCGGAAUUCCGGGUGUAGUGGUGAAAUGCGUAGAUAUCCGGAGGAACACCAGAGGCGAAAGCGGCCUCCUGGCCCACAACUGACGCUCAGACGCGAAAGCUAGGGUAGCAAACG